UACAGAGGUCUCAAGCGUUGUUCGGAUUCAUUGGGCGUAAAGGGUGUGUAGGUGGCGCGCUAAGUCGGGUGUGAAAUUUCGGAGCUUAACUCCGAAACUGCAUUCGAUACUGCCGUGCUUGAGGACUGGAGAGGAGACUGGAAUUUACGGUGUAGCGGUGAAAUGCGUAGAUAUCUGCAGGAACACCCGUGGCGAAAGCGGCGCGCUGGACCACUACUGACGCUGAAGAACGAAAGCUAGGGGAGCAAACAGG
This 253-nucleotide ribosomal RNA is filed under the name uncultured bacterium. Its description in RNAcentral is "partial 16S ribosomal RNA". It matches the Rfam family "Bacterial small subunit ribosomal RNA", at positions 524 to 776 of the family's 1533-position model. The record is from RNAcentral.